CUGCCGCUGGUGCCUGGAGUGCACGGGAGGAAAGUCCGGGCAGCAUAGGACACCCCACUUCUGAAAGUGGAAGCUGUCGGUGACGGCAGGUGACGGCAGAAGAAAACAACCGCCUCCUUUCUUUCUGGAUGGAGGUAAGGGUGAGAAGGUGGUGUAAGAGACCACCAGACGGCUGGUGACAGUCGUGCUGUGCCAACUGGGGGCUGCAAGUUCGCGUAUACCAUCGAUUGAGGGCUGUCCGUCCGAGUCACCCCUCAAGGGCGUGUGCGAUGGAGGGUAGAACGCUGGAGCCAUGGGGUGACUCAUGGCGUAGAUAAAUGGCAGACACUGGCAGCAAUGUCAGUACAGAACCCGGCUUACAGGG
RNAcentral lists this RNase P RNA (364 nucleotides) under uncultured Prevotella sp. Its description in RNAcentral is "Bacterial RNase P class A". It matches the Rfam family "Bacterial RNase P class A". Rfam says of the family: Ribonuclease P (RNase P) is a ubiquitous endoribonuclease, found in archaea, bacteria and eukarya as well as chloroplasts and mitochondria. Its best characterised activity is the generation of mature 5'-ends of tRNAs by cleaving the 5'-leader elements of precursor-tRNAs. Lineage: Bacteria; Pseudomonadati; Bacteroidota; Bacteroidia; Bacteroidales; Prevotellaceae. The record is from RNAcentral.